This 45-nucleotide non-coding RNA is filed under the name Trichobilharzia regenti. Lineage: Eukaryota; Metazoa; Platyhelminthes; Trematoda; Strigeidida; Schistosomatidae. The record is from RNAcentral.
AUCUAGAUGAUGAGUCCUAAAUAGGACGAAAUGCGCAUCCUGGAA